Eptesicus fuscus (big brown bat) is the source of this 129-nucleotide small nuclear RNA. NCBI's taxonomy places the organism in Eukaryota, Metazoa, Chordata, Mammalia, Chiroptera, Vespertilionidae. The record is from RefSeq and is a predicted model, not a curated record.
GUGUUGUAUGAAAGGAGAGAAGGUUAGCACUCCCCUUGACAAGGAUGGAAGAGGCUCUCGGGCCUAACAACACGCAUACGGUUAAGGCAUUGCCACCUACUUAAAGUGCAGACUAUGCUGAGAAUAUAG